RNAcentral lists this ribosomal RNA (424 nucleotides) under Siphonaria sp. UF 367180. RNAcentral describes it as "partial 16S ribosomal RNA". It matches the Rfam family "Bacterial large subunit ribosomal RNA", at positions 1828 to 2601 of the family's 2925-position model. Lineage: Eukaryota; Metazoa; Mollusca; Gastropoda; Siphonariida; Siphonariidae. The record is from RNAcentral.
AUCCUGUAGCACUAAUUGCAGGUGUUGCCUGCCCUAUGCGCGGUAAAUGGCCGCAGAACUUUAACUGUGCUAAGGUAGCAUAAUCAUUUGUCUUUUAAAUGGGGACUGUAUGAAUGGCUUAAUGGGAUAAAGCUGUCUUAAUAAAGUUUCAUAGAAUUUAUUGAAAAGGUGAAAAUCCCUUUAAAAUAAAAAAAGACGAGAAGACCCUAAGAGUUUAAGUUAAAAGAGAGUAUAUUUUUUAGAUUUUUGUUGGGGCAACAAAGGAGUUAUCCUCCUUUAAUAGACUAGAAAUUUAUUUUAGAAAGAAAACACUACCUUAGGGAUAACAGCACAAUCUGUAACGGGUUUGUGACCUCGAUGUUGGACUAGGAAUAGCUAUUUUCAGAAGAAAUAUGUUAAUGCUCUGUUCGAGCAAAUCUAACCU